GCGUGGAGGAUUGUAAAGGGUUUUACGGAAUUGUAAACUCCUUUUGUUAGAGAAGUAUAAUGACGGUAUCUAACGAAUAAGCACCGGCUAACUCCGUGCC
RNAcentral lists this ribosomal RNA (100 nucleotides) under uncultured bacterium. Its description in RNAcentral is "partial 16S ribosomal RNA". The record is from RNAcentral.